AAUGGGUCAGCGACUUAUAUUCUGUAGCAAGGUUAACCGAAUAGGGGAGCCGAAGGGAAACCGAGUCUUAACUGGGCGUUAAGUUGCAGGGUAUAGACCCGAAACCCGGUGAUCUAGCCAUGGGCAGGUUGAAGGUUGGGUAACACUAACUGGAGGACCGAACCGACUAAUGUUGAAAAAUUAGCGGAUGACUUGUGGCUGGGGGUGAAAGGCCAAUCAAACCGGGAGAUAGCUGGUUCUCCCCGAAAGCUAUUUAGGUAGCGCCUCGUGAAUUCAUCUCCGGGGGUAGAGCACUGUUUCGGCAAGGGGGUCAUCCCGACUUACCAACCCGAUGCAAACUGCGAAUACCGGAGAAUGUUAUCACGGGAGACACACGGCGGGUGCUAACGUCCGUCGUGAAGAGGGAAACAACCCAGACCGCCAGCUAAGGUCCCAAAGUCAUGGUUAAGUGGGAAACGAUGUGGGAAGGCCCAGACAGCCAGGAUGUUGGCUUAGAAGCAGCCAUCAUUUAAAGAAAGCGUAAUAGCUCACUGGUCGAGUCGGCCUGCGCGGAAGAUGUAACGGGGCUAAACCAUGCACCGAAGCUGCGGCAGCGACACUGUGUGUUGUUGGGUAGGGGAGCGUUCUGUAAGCCUGUGAAGGUGUACUGUGAGGUAUGCUGGAGGUAUCAGAAGUGCGAAUGCUGACAUAAGUAACGAUAAAGCGGGUGAAAAGCCCGCUCGCCGGAAGACCAAGGGUUCCUGUCCAACGUUAAUCGGGGCAGGGUGAGUCGACCCCUAAGGCGAGGCCGAAAGGCGUAGUCGAUGGGAAACAGGUUAAUAUUCCUGUACUUGGUGUUACUGCGAAGGGGGGACGGAGAAGGCUAUGUUGGCCGGGCGACGGUUGUCCCGGUUUAAGCGUGUAGGCUGGUUUUCCAGGCAAAUCCGGAAAAUCAAGGCUGAGGCGUGAUGACGAGGCACUACGGUGCUGAAGCAACAAAUGCCCUGCUUCCAGGAAAAGCCUCUAAGCAUCAGGUAACAUCAAAUCGUACCCCAAACCGACACAGGUGGUCAGGUAGAGAAUACCAAGGCGCUUGAGAGAACUCGGGUGAAGGAACUAGGCAAAAUGGUGCCGUAACUUCGGGAGAAGGCACGCUGAUAUGUAGGUGAAGCGACUUGCUC
This 1160-nucleotide ribosomal RNA is filed under the name Escherichia coli. Its description in RNAcentral is "partial 23S ribosomal RNA". It matches the Rfam family "Bacterial large subunit ribosomal RNA", at positions 614 to 1774 of the family's 2925-position model. The record is from RNAcentral. Lineage: Bacteria; Pseudomonadati; Pseudomonadota; Gammaproteobacteria; Enterobacterales; Enterobacteriaceae.